RNAcentral lists this ribosomal RNA (1255 nucleotides) under metagenome. RNAcentral describes it as "bacterial LSU rRNA". It matches the Rfam family "Bacterial large subunit ribosomal RNA", at positions 1689 to 2925 of the family's 2925-position model. The record is from RNAcentral.
CUUGAGAGAACUCGGGUGAAGGAACUAGGCAAAAUGGCACCGUAACUUCGGGAGAAGGUGCGCCGGUGAGGGUGAAGCAUUUACUGCGUAAGCCCACGCCGGUCGAAGAUACCAGGCCGCUGCGACUGUUUAUUAAAAACACAGCACUUUGCAAACACGAAAGUGGACGUAUAGGGUGUGACGCCUGCCCGGUGCCGGAAGGUUAAUUGAUGGGGUUAGCUAACGCGAAGCUCUUGAUCGAAGCCCCGGUAAACGGCGGCCGUAACUAUAACGGUCCUAAGGUAGCGAAAUUCCUUGUCGGGUAAGUUCCGACCUGCACGAAUGGCGUAACGAUGGCGGCGCUGUCUCCACCCGAGACUCAGUGAAAUUGAAAUCGCUGUGAAGAUGCAGUGUAUCCGCGGCUAGACGGAAAGACCCCGUGAACCUUUACUAUAGCUUUGCACUGGACUUUGAAUUUGCUUGUGUAGGAUAGGUGGGAGGCUUUGAAGCGUGGACGCCAGUCUGCGUGGAGCCAACCUUGAAAUACCACCCUGGCAACUUUGAGGUUCUAACUCAGGUCCGUUAUCCGGAUCGAGGACAGUGUAUGGUGGGUAGUUUGACUGGGGCGGUCUCCUCCUAAAGAGUAACGGAGGAGUACGAAGGUGCGCUCAGACCGGUCGGAAAUCGGUCGUAGAGUAUAAAGGCAAAAGCGCGCUUGACUGCGAGACAGACACGUCGAGCAGGUACGAAAGUAGGUCUUAGUGAUCCGGUGGUUCUGUAUGGAAGGGCCAUCGCUCAACGGAUAAAAGGUACUCCGGGAUAACAGGCUGAUACCGCCCAAGAGUUCAUAUCGACGGCGGUGUUUGGCACCCCGAUGUCGGCUCAUCACAUCCUGGGGCUGAAGCCGGUCCCAAGGGUAUGGCUGUUCGCCAUUUAAAGUGGUACGCGAGCUGGGUUUAGAACGUCGUGAGACAGUUCGGUCCCUAUCUGCCGUGGACGUUUGAGAUUUGAGAGGGGCUGCUCCUAGUACGAGAGGACCGGAGUGGACGAACCUCUGGUGUUCCGGUUGUCACGCCAGUGGCAUUGCCGGGUAGCUAUGUUCGGAAUAGAUAACCGCUGAAAGCAUCUAAGCGGGAAACUAGCCUCAAGAUGAGAUCUCACUGGAACCUUGAGUUCCCUGAAGGGCCGUCGAAGACUACGACGUUGAUAGGUGGGGUGUGUAAGCGCUGUGAGGCGUUGAGCUAACCCAUACUAAUUGCCCGUGAGGCUUGACCAU